GAUGAACGCUGGCGGCGUGCCUAAUACAUGCAAGUCGAGCGAACGGGCGAGAAGCUUGCUUCUCUGAUGUUAGCGGCGGACGGGUGAGUAACACGUGGAUAACCUACCUAUAAGACUGGGAUAACUUCGGGAAACCGGAGCUAAUACCGGAUAAUAUUUCGAACCGCAUGGUUCAAAAGUGAAAGACGGUCUUGCUGUCACUUAUAGAUGGAUCCGCGCUGCAUUAGCUAGUUGGUAAGGUAACGGCUUACCAAGGCAACGAUGCAUAGCCGACCUGAGAGGGUGAUCGGCCACACUGGAACUGAGACACGGUCCAGACUCCUACGGGAGGCAGCAGUAGGGAAUCUUCCGCAAUGGGCGAAAGCCUGACGGAGCAACGCCGCGUGAGUGAUGAAGGUCUUCGGAUCGUAAAACUCUGUUAUUAGGGAAGAACAUAUGUGUAAGUAACUGUGCACAUCUUGACGGUACCUAAUCAGAAAGCCACGGCUAACUACGUG
This 497-nucleotide ribosomal RNA is filed under the name uncultured bacterium. Its description in RNAcentral is "partial 16S ribosomal RNA". It matches the Rfam family "Bacterial small subunit ribosomal RNA", at positions 28 to 507 of the family's 1533-position model. The record is from RNAcentral.